Molecule: ribosomal RNA, 253 nt
Filed under: uncultured bacterium
Lineage: Bacteria
Description: partial 16S ribosomal RNA
Rfam family: Bacterial small subunit ribosomal RNA
Source: RNAcentral
UACGAAGGGGGCUAGCGUUGUUCGGAUUUACUGGGCGUAAAGCGCGUGUAGGCGGGCUGGAAAGUUGGGGGUGAAAUCCCGAGGCUCAACCUCGGAACUGCCUCCAAAACUUCCAGCCUGGACCCAAGUAGAGGCAAGUGGAAUUGCGAGUGUAGAGGUGAAAUUCGUAGAUAUUCGCAGGAACACCAGUGGCGAAGGCGACUUGCUGGACUUGUGGUGACGCUGAGACGCGAAAGCGUGGGGAGCAAACAGG